Molecule: long non-coding RNA, 1451 nt
Organism: Tupaia belangeri chinensis (Chinese tree shrew)
Lineage: Eukaryota; Metazoa; Chordata; Mammalia; Scandentia; Tupaiidae
Exons: 4
Source: RefSeq, a predicted model, not a curated record
UCUUACAGUACAAGUAAAACUAAAGGCUUCCUGUUUGCCCCCUAGUGAUGGUCUCAGAAGCCAGACAGCUCCUGCACCCCACCCACUAUUCCCUGGCCACACCUUGCGCCUACAGUCCAACCCCAUGAGUCAUCCGCCCGCGGAUUUGAUCAGGAAGCCCAGAGGCCCCGGCGUUUCCAAAGGCACACAGACCACCCUCCGGUAGAAUUACUCACCGGCCGCCAGCGCUUCACACUUCCUCUGCAAUGAAAGAGAGAACACACAAGGUCUGCAGAGAGGAUCCGGACACUUCGUGCCUGUGGAAAGAACGCUCGGUGAGCACACACACCUGAAAGCAAAACUUUAAAAAAUAAGAAAAAGGCUUGGAAGAACUGGGACUCAAAGCUGAUUCUCCUGACCCCAAUUUCAUGCUUUGACAGAAAAAGUAAGGACUUUCAUUGAGUAACUAGAAGUUUUCAGAAUGGUUAUGUGGAUGCAUUUGAAAGGUAACAAACAAACUAAAACUAACUUUUGCUAGUGAAAAAACUAAAAUAUGGGGAGAAAUAAAUCUGAAAAGAUAGAGGACAAAGUGCAUGGAUAUGAAAGAAGGCAGACAAGGAAGAAGAAUCGAGUUAUUGACAUUUUGAUGAAUUAAUGAAAUGUCAAAUGAACAAAACAUCUCUUCUCAAGAAAGGACUUAAGGGCUGGCGCCUGUAGCACACCAGGUACGUGAGUCUCGUCUUCCACCUUGAAAACGGUGCAGUGACUCAGGGGGCUUUCCUGCAGAGACGCAGGCCCAGGCUCAGCCCGAGAAGACCUGAAUUCUGGGCUCCUCCCUGCCUCGCACCACCUUCCUGGAACCUCUGGGGAAGUCUCCCUCCUGGGCCUCAAAUUCGUCAUGUGGGAAGCGUCUGGGCCACAUGGGGACAAAGGGGUUUGGCUGCUUCUCGUCCAGGUCUGAGGGCUAAUAUGAAGACGACUGUGGGGAAAAGAGAUUGACGAAGCCCCUCGGGUGCCACAGGUCCCUAAUGGUGGCCACCAGGUGAGAGCAGGCGUUCCUGGAUUCACAGGGGUGUAGCAGGCCCCACCCACUGACUACCAGAUGAGGUGCAUGUUCUGAAAAAGCCCCUCUAGCCAGACAGGGAAGAGCCUAAGGAGUGGCCAAGGCGGGAAGGAGACCAACGGGAAGCCGUAGGCUUCAUGAAGCCUCCUGGAGGUUCCGCCUGGACCUAUGACUAGUGGGUAGGAUCCGAAUGAGGGGAUGAAACAGGAUGGACACACGAAGGGCCUCAAGGCUGCCCGACGUCGGAACUCGGGCUCCACCCGCUGCACUGCUGUGGCUGUCACCUCUGAGCGUGCUGGGCCAUCCUCAUGUAUCCCAGCUAGACUGGCCUUCUUCCCCUCCCCAGCAGCUCGCCCCUCUGCUCCCCAUUGUUUCUUCCCAUCUAACAAGCUCCCACGAUUACUCGGGA